CCUACGGGAGGCAGCAGUAGGGAAUUUUCCGCAAUGGGCGAAAGCCUGACGGAGCAAUACCGCGUGAGGGAAGAAUGCCUACGGGUUGUAAACCUCUUUUUUCAGGGAGGAACAUAAUGACGUGUACCUGAAGAAUAAGCAUCGGCUAACUCCGUGCCAGCAGCCGCGGUAAGACGGAGGAUGCAAGUGUUAUCCGGAAUCACUGGGCGUAAAGCGUCUGUAGGUGGUUUAAUAAGUCAACUGUUAAAUCUUGAGGCUCAACCUCAAAAUCGCAGUCGAAACUAUUAGACUAGAGUAUAGUAGGGGUAAAGGGAAUUUCCAGUGGAGCGGUGAAAUGCGUAGAGAUUGGAAAGAACACCGAUGGCGAAAGCACUUUACUAGGCUAUUACUGACACUCAGAGACGAAAGCUAGGGUAGCAAAUGGGAUUAGAUACCCCAGUAGUCCUAGCUGUAAACUAUGGAUACUAGAUGUUGAACAGAUCGACCUGUGCAGUAUCAAAGCUAACGCGUUAAGUAUCCCGCCUGGGAAGUAUGCUCGCAAGGGUUGAAACUCAAAUGAAUUGACGGNUGAGAGNGCGAGACGACGACGAGGGAGAGG
Molecule: ribosomal RNA, 598 nt
Filed under: uncultured bacterium
Lineage: Bacteria
Description: bacterial SSU rRNA
Rfam family: Bacterial small subunit ribosomal RNA
Source: RNAcentral